Molecule: ribosomal RNA, 465 nt
Filed under: Vreelandella stevensii
Lineage: Bacteria; Pseudomonadati; Pseudomonadota; Gammaproteobacteria; Oceanospirillales; Halomonadaceae
Description: partial 16S ribosomal RNA
Rfam family: Bacterial small subunit ribosomal RNA
Source: RNAcentral
CCUACGGGGGGCUGCAGUGGGGAAUAUUGGACAAUGGGCGAAAGCCUGAUCCAGCCAUGCCGCGUGUGUGAAGAAGGCCUUCGGGUUGUAAAGCACUUUCAGUGGGGAAGAAAGCCUUGGGGCUAAUACCCUCGAGGAAGGACAUCACCCACAGAAGAAGCACCGGCUAACUCCGUGCCAGCAGCCGCGGGAAUACGGAGGGUGCGAGCGUUAAUCGGAAUUACUGGGCGUAAAGCGCGCGUAGGCGGUCUGAUAAGCCGGUUGUGAAAGCCCCGGGCUCAACCUGGGAACAGCAUCCGGAACUGUCAGGCUAGAGUGCAGGAGAGGAAGGUAGAAUUCCCGGUGUAGCGGUGAAAUGCGUAGAGAUCGGGAGGAAUACCAGUGGCGAAGGCGGCCUACUGGACUGACACUGACGCUGAGGUGCGAAAGCGUGGGUAGCAAACAGGAUUAGAUACCCGGGUAGUC